This 423-nucleotide ribosomal RNA is filed under the name uncultured Lachnospiraceae bacterium. Its description in RNAcentral is "bacterial SSU rRNA". It matches the Rfam family "Bacterial small subunit ribosomal RNA", at positions 355 to 794 of the family's 1533-position model. Lineage: Bacteria; Bacillati; Bacillota; Clostridia; Lachnospirales; Lachnospiraceae. The record is from RNAcentral.
UGGGGAAUAUUGCACAAUGGGGGAAACCCUGAUGCAGCCACGCCGCGUGAAGGAAGACGGUUUUCGGAUUGUAAACUUCUGUUCUUAGUGAAGAAUAAUGACGGUAGCUAAGGAGCAAGCCACGGCUAACUACGUGCCAGCAGCCGCGGUAAUACGUAGGGGGCAAGCGUUAUCCGGAUUUACUGGGUGUAAAGGGAGCGCAGGCGGUCCUGCAAGUCUGAUGUGAAAGCCCGGGGCUCAACCCCGGGACUGCAUUGGAAACUGUGGGACUUGAGUGUCGGAGGGGCAAGUGGAAUUCCUAGUGUAGCGGUGAAAUGCGUAGAUAUUAGGAGGAACACCAGUGGCGAAGGCGGCUUGCUGGACGACAACUGACGCUGAGGCUCGAAAGCGUGGGGAGCAAACAGGAUUAGAUACCCUGGUAGU